UUGAACGCUGGCGGAAUGCUUUACACAUGCAAGUCGAGCGGCAGCGCGGGGGCAACCCUGGCGGCGAGCGGCGAACGGGUGAGUAACACAUCGGAACGUACCCAGUUGUGGGGGAUAGCCCGGCGAAAGCCGGAUUAAUACCGCAUACGCCCUGAGGGGGAAAGUGGGGGAUCGCAAGACCUCACGUUAUUCGAGCGGCCGACGUCUGAUUAGCUAGUUGGUGGGGUAAAGGCUCACCAAGGCGACGAUCAGUAGCGGGUCUGAGAGGAUGAUCCGUCACACUGGAACUGAGACACGGUCCAGACUCCUACGGGAGGCAGCAGUGGGGAAUUUUGGACAAUGGGGGCAACCCUGAUCCAGCCAUUCCGCGUGAGUGAAGAAGGCCUUCGGGUUGUAAAGCUCUUUCAGCCGGAACGAAACGGUACGCUCUAACAUAGCGUGCUAAUGACGGUACCGGCAGAAGAAGCACCGGCUAACUACGU
RNAcentral lists this ribosomal RNA (482 nucleotides) under uncultured bacterium. Its description in RNAcentral is "bacterial SSU rRNA". It matches the Rfam family "Bacterial small subunit ribosomal RNA", at positions 29 to 506 of the family's 1533-position model. The record is from RNAcentral.